CCCUUAGAUGUUCUGGGCCGCACGCGCGCUACACUGAUGCAUUCAACUAGUUUCUUCCUGGUCCGAGAGGAAUGGGUAACCUUUUGAAAGUGCAUCGUGAUAGGGAUAGACUAUUGCAAUUAUUGGUCUUCAACGAGGAAUUCCUAGUAGACGUAGUUCAUCAGACUGCAUCGAUUACGUCCCUGCCCUUUGUACACACCGCCCGUCGCUCCUACCGAUUGAAUGCUCAGGUGAGCCAUUCGGACUUUCAUCAUGCUGGUUUCCAGUUUUGAUGAAGGAAAGUCUUGCGAACCUUAUCAUUUAGAGGAAGGAGAAGUCGUAACA
This 324-nucleotide ribosomal RNA is filed under the name uncultured eukaryote. RNAcentral describes it as "partial 18S ribosomal RNA". It matches the Rfam family "Eukaryotic small subunit ribosomal RNA", at positions 1470 to 1796 of the family's 1831-position model. The record is from RNAcentral.